Molecule: transfer RNA, 72 nt
Filed under: Camelus bactrianus (Bactrian camel)
Lineage: Eukaryota; Metazoa; Chordata; Mammalia; Artiodactyla; Camelidae
Also listed under: 3 other names
Rfam family: tRNA
About the family: Transfer RNA (tRNA) molecules are approximately 80 nucleotides in length. Their secondary structure includes four short double-helical elements and three loops (D, anti-codon, and T loops). Further hydrogen bonds mediate the characteristic L-shaped molecular structure. tRNAs have two regions of fundamental functional importance: the anti-codon, which is responsible for specific mRNA codon recognition, and the 3' end, to which the tRNAs corresponding amino acid is attached (by aminoacyl-tRNA synthetases). tRNAs cope with the degeneracy of the genetic code in two manners: having more than one tRNA (with a specific anti-codon) for a particular amino acid; and 'wobble' base-pairing, i.e. permitting non-standard base-pairing at the 3rd anti-codon position.
Source: Rfam by way of RNAcentral
GAGGGUAUAGCUCAGUUGUAGAGUGCAUGCCUAGCAUACAUGAGGUCCUGGGUUCAAUCCUCAGUAUCUCCG